AUGAAUCUUAGAUAGCUGCAGCUUACGCUGUACUAAGGUAGCAUAAUCACUUGCCUUGUAAUUUAAGGAUCGUAUAAAAGACAUCACGCAUUUUAAACUGUACCAAAAAUUUAUAUUUAAAUUUUAAUAAAAGUAAAAAUACUUUUAAACAUAAAAAAGACGACAAGACCCUGAGAACUAAACUAAAGUUUCACUGGGGCGGUCAAAUAAAAAAAUCUUACUUAUCAUACACAAAAUAAAUAAGUUACCUCAGGGAUAACAGCAUAAUUUAUUUUUAAAGUUCCUAUUUAUAAACAAGAUUAUGACCUCGAUGUUGAAUUAAAAAAUCUAUAAUUACGCAAUAGUAAUAAAAGACAGUCUGUUCGACUAUUAAAAUUUUACAUGAUUUGAGUUCAGACCGGCGCAAGCCAGGUCGGCUUCUAUCUUUUUUAAUUUAUUAACAGUACGAAAGGACCAAAAUAACAUAUUACAUAAUAAUUUGACAGAACAAUUGUACUAAACUUAGAAUUUAAACAUGCUAUU
Molecule: ribosomal RNA, 522 nt
Filed under: Stalita hadzii
Lineage: Eukaryota; Metazoa; Arthropoda; Arachnida; Araneae; Dysderidae
Description: partial 16S ribosomal RNA
Rfam family: Bacterial large subunit ribosomal RNA (bases 154-428)
Source: RNAcentral